GAAAUGAUGUAACAAUUUGCAAAGAGCUCCAGCUCUAGCUGAAGGGGCUUAGGACAUAGCUGGAGAGUGCUGCGCUUGCUCCUCGGACACACAAAGCAGCUCCUAGGAAGCCCUGCCAGCCUCUCUGUUGCUGCUGGGGGCAUCAGCAUCUUGCAAAUGCUCUGGUCUAGCAGGGGAAUGAAAGGAAGCUGGGCUCACAGCAGCUACUGUUCAUGCAACAUUUGACCUGCAGAGUUCCUGCCACACCUUUCCCUUAUGAUCCUAACUCUGACUGCCAUAUAAACUUACAGGGCAUAAUGGAGUUGUCACCAUGCAUCCUGUCACAAUGAAAGCUGGCAUUGCCUGAGCAAAGAGCUUGCAACAAUAACGCUGUUUGCCUUCAGCCUCACCCCCGCCAGGAUAUUAAGACUGGAAAGACCCAGCCACGCCACACAUUCAGUCUGCAGAAGGAUCAUCUCCAUUCCCUGCUGGGACAAGGAGAUUUGAACUCAUCCUCAGGGUCCUCCAUAGCCCAGCAUUACCAAGGACUUACAGUGGAUGGAGAUGCUGUGGACUGAGAAGUGAAAACAGGCGCUUAAUAAACCUGCAGUUUGUCACUCAUCUUGAGGCUGGCAGGCAGAGCAGGACAGGUGGGGUAGUUUCCAGGUUGUACUGCAAGCAGAACCACCGAAGUGUUGGCUGUCCCUUUACUUUCCCUGCAACCAGCCAAGUUUCCCUCUCUCUCCACUGCUUCCCAAAGCUUUACUGCCUUCAGAUUCCACCAACGCCAAACUGCAGCCACUCAGCCACAGGCACCAGCAUGUGA
RNAcentral lists this long non-coding RNA (805 nucleotides) under Coturnix japonica (Japanese quail). Its description in RNAcentral is "lncRNA (ENSCJPG00005003874.1)". Lineage: Eukaryota; Metazoa; Chordata; Aves; Galliformes; Phasianidae. The record is from RNAcentral.